GUUCUGAACAUUAAUCAUUUUUUUUUUUUCUGCAGUGCUUUUAGCAAAUCAAAAAUGGCAUCCGGUUCCUCUCUUGGUAAAUGAGAAAAGGAAUCUAAGGUGCUUGCCUUAGGUGUUUGCUGAUACUCAAGAACCUCUUCUAUGAAUAUAGCUAGAAUGUAAGAUCCAUGAGGAUAUGAGAUACAUGAGGACAAGGACUUUAUUUUGUUGACUACUUUUGCCCAGUUUGAAAAGUGUCUACCAUGUGGCAACACUUGAUAAAUUCUUGUUGAAUGACAGUGCAGAGCUUGAUAAAGUUAAGAAUUAAGAUUGGGGAUUGGACGAACUUAUGAAGCCCUUUAUUCAAUACUCUAUGAAGAAACUGAGGUCUGACAAGUGUGACCUGAAGCCAUUGCCUUGUGUAUUUUAAACAUUUCAAUUUGAAGUGGAUUAUGGGAGACAACUGGGAGCAUCCAGACUCGAGAGCUGUGUGGAGGGAUCUUUGCUGUGAUCCCUCUGACAACACAGGUAAUCACUCAUAAAGAAAACCACCUCACAAAUAGAACUCACCUUUUGGCCUCAGUUGGAUAGCUGAAGUAAAAAUCUUUGUCUGGUACCACUGUAAAUGUUCCAACAAUAUGCCCAAAAUAAAUCAUUUAAUUGAACAUGAUUUUACUCUUUAUGUUUUACUAUAUGAUACUUUUUAAUGAAUGGCAAGAGAAAAUAAUUGUUGGGGUGCUUC
Molecule: long non-coding RNA, 721 nt
Organism: Panthera uncia (snow leopard)
Lineage: Eukaryota; Metazoa; Chordata; Mammalia; Carnivora; Felidae
Exons: 3
Source: RefSeq, a predicted model, not a curated record